Long non-coding RNA from Dreissena polymorpha, 2724 nucleotides. RefSeq lists it as uncharacterized. The transcript is spliced from 2 exons. The record is from RefSeq and is a predicted model, not a curated record. Lineage: Eukaryota; Metazoa; Mollusca; Bivalvia; Myida; Dreissenidae.
CCGUCCGUCCGUCCGUCCGUCUGUCUGUCCGUCACACUUUUGCGUUUAGGUUUCGAAAAAUGCUCAUAACUUCUAUGUCACUUUAGAUGUAACCUUCAUAUUUGGUAAGCAUGUGUAUAUGGACAAGAUCUUUCCAUACGCACACACAUUUUGACCCCUUUGACCUUGACCUUGAACUUAGGGUCCGCGCUUAGAUUUCGCAAUCUGCGUUUAGGUUUCGAAAGGCGUUUUUCGGGUAGCUCUUGUUUCAUUUACUUGUGUAUUGUUGAUUGUUUUUAGUAUAUUUAUUACAAAAUUAUGAUUGUCUAACAAACUAUAUUUAUGUUGAAUUUUCCACCAAUAGUUUCAACUCCUCACCAAAUAUUGUGAAAGUAUUAAUCUCAUUAUUCACUCUCCAUUCUCCAUUGAAAGCGUGAUUUUGACAAACGAUGAUUGGAUAGUUUUGUAAAUUAACUUUUAAUGUAUGUGCACAUCUUGAAGCUAUAGUUGUGAUGAUGUGUUGAGUUAAAAUAAGUCCAAUCGAUUGCUUCCACUCUUUGCAUUCCAAGAGUACUUUGAUUACAUCUUGUUGAAUGAUUCAACCGAAUAAAAAUAUAUAUCAAGGGGAUUCCAUGACAAGGAUUUUUACAGAGAUUAUUUUGUUUUGUUUUUAUCAUUAUGCCCCCCUUCGAAGAAGAGGGGGUAUAUUGCUUUGCUCAUGUCGGUCUGUCGGUCGGUCUGUUGGUCGGUUGGUCUGUCGGUCUGUCCACCAGGUGGUUGUCAGACGAUAACUCAAGAACGCUUGGGCCUAGGAUCAUGAAACUUCAUAGGUACAUUGAUCAUGACUCGCAGAUGACCCCUAUUGAUUUUGAGGUCACUAGGUCGAAGGUCAAGGUCACGGUGACCAGAAAUAGUAAAAUGGUUUUUGAAUGAUAACUCAAGAACGCAGAUGCCUAGGAUCAUGAAACUUCAUGGGUAGAUUAAUCAUGACUUGCAGAUGACCCCUAUUGAUUUUGAGGUCACUAGGUCAAAGGUCAAGGUCACGGUGACCUGAAAUAGUAAAAUGGUUUCUGGAUGAUAACUCAAGAACGCAUACGCCUAGGAUCAUGAAACUUCAUAGGUAGAUUGAUAAUGACUUGCAGAUGACCCCUAUUGAUUUUGAGGUCACAAGGUCAAAGAUCAAGGUCACGGUGACCCUAAAUAGUAAAAUGAUUUUCGGAUGAUAACUCAAGAACGGUUUUGCCUAGGAUCAUGACACUUCAUAGGUACAUUGAUAGUGACUCGCAGAUGACCCCUAUUGAUUUUCAGGUCACUAGGUCAAAGGUCAAGGUGACAAAAAUCGUAUUCACACAAUGGCUGCCACUACAACGGACAGCCCAUAUGGGGGGCAUGCAUGUUUUACAAACAGCCCUUGUUCCUUUUUUAUUUACAAUAAAUCAGAUGUAUGAUGAAAGAUUUGCAAAAAUGUUGUCAUUUAUUAAUAUUAUGAAAAGUGUAUGUUUUGUGCAUUUUCUGCAUUAUUUUUCAUUAAUUAAUGAAGUAGUAAAGUUAAUUGUAUUUGUAUGUUCAAGAGCGACAGAAAUUGCAUAUUUGCAUAACACUAAAUUCAAAAAUACCAAUUUAGUAAAUAAAACAAUGUGGGUAAAAAAUCAAUUGUUUUGUUAUUCGAAAAGCACCCACAUGCUGGCAAAAAGAUUUUUCAAUACUAUUUUCAAUAUUGUAGAUGUAUGAUUGCCUGAAAAACAAACACAUGUUUGCUCACCUGAGCACAAUGUGCUCAUGGUGAGCUUUUGUGACCACCUUUUGUCUGUCCUUCAUAGUGUGUUGUGCAACGUCAACAUUUGCCUUGUUAAACACUCUAGAUGCCACAUUUAUUUGUCCCAAUGAUAUCUUCGACAAGUUCAAAAAUAGUUAUAGAUGGUUGAAAAACAUGGCCGCCAGAGGGCCGUGCAUUUUUCCUUAUAUGGCUUUAGUAAAAACUUUUUAACACUAAAAGUAAAAGUAAAAAGUGCAACCUUCAUGAAACUUGGUCAGAAUAUUUGUUUUAAUGAUAUCUUGGAUAAGCUCAAAAAUGGUUCCCGUCUGUUGAAAAACAUGGCUUCCAGGGGGCGGGGAAUUUAUCCUCGUAUGGCUAAGCAUAACCUUGUUAGCUCUCAAAAAGUUACAUUUAUAGUUCACUGUUUAUGAAACUUGGUCAGAACAUUUGUUAUACUGAUAUCUUGUGCUGCACAGAACAGGUCAGUUCCUUUGUAUCUCAGGUGAACAAAUUGGGGCCUUUCAGGCUCUCUUUUUACUUUUAUGUUACAUACUGAAAGUAUUACUGAAUGUGGGGCCAAGUACUGAAAAAAAACUGAAUGGGAUAAGAUAAUAUCGAGUUCUCAAUAAAAUCUCUAUUUACAAAAGAACAAAGGUGUAAUGCUUCAUUCUGGCAAAAUUCGUUUGCUGUCUUAUAUUCAUUUUUGCUUCUUCCUGUUGUAAAUUCUGAGUUUGUUUACAAAUUCAGAGAUUGAUUACAAAAACUGUUCUCCCCACCAAAUGUGUAAAGCAUCCGGUUGUGUUGUUAUAUUACUUCAAAAUGCAACUAAAACAAGUUAUAUUAUUUUAAAAUGCAACUAACACAAUGCAAACAAGCUCGUUUAUGUUCCUUUUUACUGUAUGUUUUUGUGUAAUUGUAAUGUAUUAGACUUUGGGACAUUAGUUUUUGCACACUUUGGUUUUUAUGUUGCAUUAAAGAUAAUGUUAGUA